Molecule: long non-coding RNA, 6477 nt
Organism: Thunnus maccoyii (southern bluefin tuna)
Lineage: Eukaryota; Metazoa; Chordata; Actinopteri; Scombriformes; Scombridae
Exons: 4
Source: RefSeq, a predicted model, not a curated record
GCUCGGGGUCGCACUUCACUCCUCUCCCUGGUCAAACCGGAUUAAGGAAGAAUGAGAAGAGUUACAACCGCUGAUUCCUCGUUGAGAAAACACAGAAAGAGUCCAUAAAAGAGGUCUGAAGUGGGUCCCGUCCUCUCAUCACUACCUGGUUGUUGCUGUUGAGGCUUCAUGGAAACGUCCAAGAGAUGAAGUCAGACCUGAUCCCACAAAUGACACGAAUAAGCCCGUUUCCAUAUGAGCGUGCCCUGCAUAGACGAGCAGACAGGGAGCCAGAUGUGAAUUCCAGAAUAUGCAGCUGCCAUUUUCCUCAUGGAAAAGAGAAAGGGACAUGUUUUUUGAGUGGACUAAGACAAAUGUAAUCAGUUUACCCUCAGUAAAUCAGUCCACUGACCACAGCUACGCCAAAGUGCGUGAGCAUAACAAAUCUGCAGACGAACCGGGACCCUUCUGCGUGCAGUCUGGACCCAAUCGUUGCGAACACCAGGCGGGGGAUGACAGCCUGCAGUCUGGGCCUGUUGCUAGCAAAAGAGGCACAGGCAAAUACUCUGCAGCAUGGCUAACAGAUGAGAUCAUACGAAUGGAAACAGGGCUUCCAGAUAUGCAGGGUUGGUGGAGCGCUUUGAGGGCUCCAUCAUGUAUUUCAGUGGAUGGAAAGUGGAGGGCAUCAAGGCCAUGAAGACUUGGUCUUGAUGGCCUCGAUGAAGAUCUGCCAAGACUGCCCACACCUGCAUCUUGCAUAACUGUUUCCUUGUCGUUCUCCAACAGUCAGUAAUAUGGUGAACACAAUGAUCCAUCUGCUCCUCAAGGUGCUGUUUCAGAGAAUGAUGUCCUAAUUGCCAAAAAAUAAAAAAAGCAUGCCUGCUUCAUUCCAGUCCUCUGCGUUCAACUGGCAAAUGAUUGUGGACUGCACUGACAUCCAUAUAGCCAUCCCCCAGUCAGAUGGACCAAGCAAAGUUGACCUACUCAUACAGAGAUAGGAGAUAGGAGAGGAUCCCCCCGGAGUCUAGACGCUGGCGGUGGUGGAGUGGUGCCAGAAGGUGGUUGAUGGAAACCUUUGGGGCGAGUCUUCCCGGAAAUCAUGGAGGUCAUGGUGGUGAUUGGGAGGAGGUGGGUUGCGCAAUAAUAGGUCUGAAAGACAGAAUGGCAGAACUGCAGUGAUAUUUAAAGAACGGCAUCUAGAGACUGACUGGCUUGAGGAACGCAGGCAGAAAUAUCACUGGUACGGUGAUGUCGUGACAGGUGAAGUGGAUGUGACAGAGCGAAAUAGAACAGGAGGAAAUAGCACAUAUUCACCUGUAGUGAAAUAAAGCCAGAAAGUAAGGGAAUAGAUCUUCAUCCUAUCUGAACUUUCGCCAAAGCUUAAUUUCAAUGAAAGUCGAUAAACAAUCAUAUUAAUUGCACACUAAAAUUAUUUUUCAAUAUUUGCGAGUGAUUAACAGAGUUUGAGACAAAAUUAACUAAAACAUUAAAACUCAUCAAGUUGAAGAUUUAGUGUUUUUGGCCAAAGGCUAGUAGUUUACUUCUGUCUUGAAGACCCGAAAGUAAGGUUUCCAACCCUGAAUGCCAUGUGAGUAAGAUAAUUCAAUCUACUGUGAUUUGUCCGUGUCUUUAUGUUUGUCAUAUUCCUUUAAAGCUAUGAACUUUUAACCCUGUCAAGAAAACAGAUUGUCAUUGCUUGACUGAUGACACUAGUGUUCAUACAUAUAGCCUGUAUGUGGUCUUUUAAACCUCACAAUAUAAUUACCAAAUUCAUGAUCAUAUAUUUUCCAGGGAAUCCUCACUGACUUCUACAUUAUUUAAAACAGUGAUGGUUAAAGAAGAUAAUUACAGUAAACAAAUUAGCUCAGUUAAGAUAAUCAUUUAGCUUUCCUGUGAUAUUGUUGGCAUUGGUGUUAGUGAGCAUUAACACCUCAUAAAUCCUAAAUCAGUCUGUUUUACCCCAGUUAACAGGGUAAACAUGAUUAUUCCAACAACGUUUCCCUUGUUCCAUCUGCCAUUGUGAGCAAAUGCUGAAUGCUCCAUUAGAUCUGGAAGAACGGCACUCUCCUUCUGUUUUACAGUUCAAAGCGUACAACAGAUUUCCUGCAACAUUCAACCAGGUGGCACAUGAAGUGAAAUACCAAGCAGAGGCUGCCAGCCUUGUCUGUGUUUGUUUUGUUGAUGCUCAAGUAGCAUAUUUAAAUGGCAUUUAAACCCAUUGUGUGGUUAUUUUUUCUUUUUAGGUCAGUACUUUGUCAGGUUAAAAUACUGAACAAGUGAGACUGAGAUCCGUCUUUACUAUUUGAUUUAUGUUACCCUGCAAACCAGAUGAAGUUUAAUUGGAAGUUUCCGUAGCUCUGUUUGUUUUAAACUCAGUGCCCCAGACUCAUUACACUCUCCAGUCACUCUAAGGAUCUAUUAUUAAGGCUUACAUUGUUGUCUAUGGCAGAGGUGCAGAAAAACAAUGAUUUGGCAUCAGACUAAGCAGGUUUGAAAAUACCACAGCCAACAACACAAAGCAGAAAAUCAAUACCUAAGCAUGGGACGGUCACGCUGCCCAUUACUAUCUGGUGCUGAUACAGAGUUUUUCCUUAAGUGGUCUAAACCUGGAAUUACAGAAAUAAAAGCCUGAUUGAUUCCUGGCUUGCCACCAAGGGACACAGCAAUAAUGCUCACCGUUUUAAAAUAAGAUGUGUGCUUCUUGACCAAAGUGGCUUUCUGAAUGGAACCCAUAUUUGUUUUCAAGGCAAAGUGUGGCUGUAAUCUCCCUGCAAGCCUGAGACUAAUAGAAUAUAUUAAUCACAUGCUGGAAGUGAAGCACACCUUCAGUUAAAAAUACACACAUACACACACACACACACGCACGCACGCACGCAACAUUUCAUUCUCUAUUCUCCAGGUACAGGCUUCACAUAAAAGACGUGAUUUUUGGCAGGGCCACAACAGCUGGGCCAGUCCUAUAAAUGCCAAAGUCUGUGACUGACUGAGUAACUUCAUCACUCACCUGGGCCAAGUGUCGCCAUUUCCUGUAUCCGUCGUUUCAAAUUAAAAGCCCUCUAGCAUUUCAUACAUGGUCCAGCCACAUACUACGUUUGGACCUAGUCAUGUUUUUCUCCUGGAAGAAAUAGCGAGAGCAGUACACUUUCUGACAAAGAAAGAUAGCGGGCUCCCAGAGUAGCACAUUUUGGUCUGGAUGAGAGGGAUAGUGGUGAUGAGUCUUGUACUUGUGGGUCUUGUUCAAGUUUUGAACUUGGGUUAAUCGUGAGGGAUGAGACUGUUUCCAGUCCGAUCAAAGAGGGCAGAUGUUGUUACUAAAGUACAUUCCUGGAGAAGAUUGCAUCAGACUGACAAAAACAGAUUUAGGUGACAAGAUCAUUUAAUGCGGUUGUGCAUCUACCAUCUCUGCACGGCUCGGUGGGUGAUCUAAUGCAGCGGGGAUCUCAUCUAGAGCUGUACCGUUGUUUGUGGGUAAUACUAAAGGGCGUCAGCCACACUCCAGUGAGCCAUUAAUUCACAUCACACAAAUUAAUCCAAGUGUAGGCCUCUGCCACACACAGAGAGCUCCUCUGCUUUCCCACCAUAUGCGAUAUAUUCCAGCACCGCUGCACACAGCCAUGGUUUGGCACCCAAAUGAACACAAAUGGGAAAGCUAGAGGGGGAAAAAGAGAGAAAAAAAGUUGGACAAACUUGAAAAAAGUCUCAGUUAGAGCUUUAAAUAAUGCAUAGUGCAAGUCAACGUAGACCGUCUAGCCUGAAAGGAGUCAUAAAUACCACACACAUGUCAAACCUUCAUAGUGUAUGCUACUCUGAUCUAGAGUCAGCAACACAGGAUCUGUUGACAGCGUUACAACCCACACAUACUGCACACUUUUUUGCACCACCAAGUUUUUUCUGAUUUAUCUUUAUAGGUUAAAAGGGUUGACAGUAUCUUUUCAGAACAUUGCUUAAAGCAGUAGUUUGACUAUUUGAGAAAUGCGCUUAUUCUGUACAGUAAAUAUGAAGCUACAGUCAGCAGUUGGUUAGCAUAAAUACUGGAAAGCUAGCCUAAAGGUAACAAAAUCCUCCUACCAGCACCUCUAAAGUCCACUAAUUAACAUGUUUAUCUCAUCUGUUUAAUCCGUAUAAAAACCAGUGUUUUAAGUGCCCUCUUACUUCAUUUGGCAAUUUUAUAUCAUUUGAAGUCCUGAGCUUUCUCGUUUCAGGUCCUGUUCCCUUGUUGUGUAUUUUAGUUUAUAUGACUCCAAAGUACAAUAAUUUUAUCACAGAAUUUUCUGAACUUUUGUCUAUUGUUUUAUCCAAGUAUGACAGAGUACUCACUUUCGGUGACUUUAACAUUCAUGUUUGUUGUCCUGCAUAUUCCAUGUCUGGUGAAUUCCUAAAUCUAGUUGAAAGAGCUACACAUUUCAAAGAUCAUACCCUCAACUUGGUACUUUUUUCUGGUCUCUGCUCAGAGAACCUAGAGUUAAUGGACAUCUUUGUAUCUGACCACAACGCUGUUAUUUUUAAAGCACCUCUACCCUCUCCUGUUUUAAAACCCACUCCAUCACAUGGUAUCGCAUUUUUACUGCUGACUCUGUAGCCAAAUCCAGUGAUGCUUUUUCCAAUUGGUCUUUUCCCAUUACAGCAUCUCCACACAAUCCAGAUGAACUAUUAACCUCUUUGAACAGUCACUGUCUUUCCAUUCUUGACCAUAUUGCUCCGCUAAAAAUCAGAAAACCAAAAUCAAUCACUCGCUAAAUGAUCACACUUGACCGUUGAAACGACAGUGCAUUGGAACGCAAAUGGAAGAUAACUAAGUCUACAGUUACCCACAAUACGCUUAAAGGAAUGUAUGACAAACUACCAGAAAGCAGUAAAAGAUGCAAAAGCAGCAUAUUUUUCUGACAUGAUAUCCAAAAACAAUCACAACCUCAAAGUCUUAUUCGGUGUAAUCACUUCUGUUUUCAGUGAUCCAUCCAGGACAGAUCCUGUACCUGAAAAUGAAUGGACAGAGAAAUUCGCUGCUCAUUUUAUUAGGCGGAUAGAGAACAUUCAGUCUUAAAUUUCACCUGAUCCACAAAAUCUACCCACCUACAACAAUAAUCUUGCUUCAUUUUCCCAGUUACAAACCAUUAACAUCUCAGCACUAUAUAAAAUAAUUUCUCAAAUGAAAUCCAUGAAAUAACUGUGGUGUAGAUAUUGUCCAAACGCUCUCAUGCUUAUCCACGUUUUUUAAAGAGGUAUUCCCCUCUGUUGGUCAUUGUAUUCUUUUAAUUAUUAACAUUUCUCGAAUUUCUACGAUUGAUCAGUCCAUACUCCUGCACCGUCUGGAAACCUAGGGACUGCUCUACAUCGACUACAUUCAUACCUCUCCAGUAGGACCUUCUCUGUUGUCAAAGCAAAUGCCUGUUCCUCUGUUUUAAUUGUGGUGUUCCUUGGCCCACUGCUGUUUUCAAUAUACAUGCUUCCUCUCAGCCAGAUCAUUCAGAAACAUAUUAUCUCCCACCACAACACAACACGCAGUUAUAUGUCCCUAUUCAAACCAACAACCCCAGCAGCCCUAAUAAUCUGUUUGCCUGCCUCGGUGAUGUUAAAUGUUGGCUGUCCCAAAACUUUUUAAAAUACAAUGACGAUAAAUCUGAGGUCAUAGUCAUUGGUCCCACAAAGUCUACUGGCCUGCUUCACAGUGAGCUUGGUUCCCUGAUCAAAAACAUUAAGCAAUCCGCUAGAAAUCUUGGAGUUAUUUUUGAUGCAGAUCUCUGUUUUGAUGCCCAUUUGAAAAAUGCUGUCCAGUCAUGCUUCUUUCAACUCAAAAAAAAUCUCAAAAUUCAGAUUGUUUAUGUCUCCUACCGAUUUACAUAAGGUCAUACAUGCAUUUAUUUUCUCCCACCUCGACUACUGCAGUGCACUUUAUGCUGGCAUCAGUCAGAGCUCCCUUCACCAAUUCCAACUGGUACAGAUCGCUACUGCCAGGAUUUUAACUGGCACUAAGAGAUAUGAACAUACUACUCUAGUAUUUGCCAACUUACACUGGCUGCCUGUUACAUUCUGCACUUAUUUUAAAAUUCUACUCAUCACUUUUAAAGCAUUAAAUGGCCUCGCUUCAAAUUACAUCAAGGACUUAUUAACCCCCUAUGUGCCUGAGCGUUCACUUAGAUCCGUGGAUGGGGCUCUGCUGGUUAUUCCUAGGUCUCGGCUAGUGACCAAAGGUGACUGGGCCUUUGCUGUUAGAGCCUCUAAACUGUGGAACAGUCCACCUAUCGAGAUCAGACAGGCAACAUCUUUAGUGUCAUUUUAAUCUCUUCUUAAAACAUUCUUCUAUUGGAAAGCUUUUAUGAAUGUUUGAUAUGUUGCUGUGUUUUAUUAUCCCACUUUUGACAGUUUAUAAUUUUGUCCAACUUCAUUUUAUUCCCCUUUAAUUGCUGUUUUUUAAAUUCUUUUUUUCUUCUCUCUGUUAAGCACUUUGUAAGUGCUUAUUUAGGUGGUAUCAAUCUUCUCACCUGAAUCUUGAACCUGAAA